RNAcentral lists this transfer RNA (71 nucleotides) under bacterium. Its description in RNAcentral is "tRNA-Met". It matches the Rfam family "tRNA". From Rfam's summary of the family: Transfer RNA (tRNA) molecules are approximately 80 nucleotides in length. Their secondary structure includes four short double-helical elements and three loops (D, anti-codon, and T loops). Further hydrogen bonds mediate the characteristic L-shaped molecular structure. tRNAs have two regions of fundamental functional importance: the anti-codon, which is responsible for specific mRNA codon recognition, and the 3' end, to which the tRNAs corresponding amino acid is attached (by aminoacyl-tRNA synthetases). tRNAs cope with the degeneracy of the genetic code in two manners: having more than one tRNA (with a specific anti-codon) for a particular amino acid; and 'wobble' base-pairing, i.e. permitting non-standard base-pairing at the 3rd anti-codon position. The record is from RNAcentral.
CGCGGGGUGGACCAGUAGUAGGUCGCAGGUCUCAUAAGCCUGAGGCCCCCGUGCAAUUCGGGGCCCCGCAA